RNAcentral lists this small RNA (1678 nucleotides) under Pan troglodytes (chimpanzee). RNAcentral's name for it is "retained intron". Lineage: Eukaryota; Metazoa; Chordata; Mammalia; Primates; Hominidae. The record is from RNAcentral.
GGAAGGACAGCACAGCUGACAGCCGUGCUCAGAGAGUUUCUGGAUCCUAGGCUUAAUCUCCACAGAGGAGAACACACAAGCAGCAGAAACCAUGGGGCCCCUCUCAGCCCCUCCCUGCACACAGCGCAUCAAAUGGAAGGGGCUCCUGCUCACAGCAUCACUUUUAAACUUCUGGAACCCGCCCACCACAGCCCAAGUCACGAUUGAAGCCCAGCCACCCAAAGUUUCCAAGGGGAAGGAUGUUCUUCUACUUGUCCACAAUUUGCCCCAGAAUCUUACUGGCUACAUCUGGUACAAAGGGCAAAUGAGGGACCUCUACCAUUACAUUACAUCAUAUGUAGUAGACGGUCAAAUAAUUAUAUAUGGGCCUGCAUAUAGUGGACGAGAAACAGUAUAUUCCAAUGCAUCCCUGCUGAUCCAGAAUGUCACCUGGGAGGACGCAGGAUCCUACACCUUACACAUCAUAAAGGGAGGUGAUGAGACUAGAGGAGUAACUGGACGUUUCACCUUCACCUUAUACCUGGAGACUCCCAAGCCCUCCAUCUCCAGCAGCAACUUAAAUCCCAGAGAGACCAUGGAGGCUGUGAGCUUAACCUGUGACCCUGAGACUCCAGACGCAAGCUACCUGUGGUGGAUGAAUGGUCAGAGCCUCCCUAUGACUCACAGCUUGAAGCUCUCCGAAACCAACAGGACCCUCUUUCUAUUGGGUGUCACAAAGUAUACUGCAGGACCCUAUGAAUGUGAAAUACAGAACCCAGUGAGUGCCAGCCGCAGUGACCCAGUCACCCUGAAUCUCCUCCGUGAGUAUCUUCUGUUCCUCUGUGAGCCAGGCUGCCAUCCCAAAUACACGUGGCCAGAGGCCAGGCCUCUCUGUCCCUCUCAGGUCCAAUACAGAGACCUUUACCCCUGGACAUCAAACCUGGCCAUGACUUUGUGUCCCAGGCAAACCAGAGUAGGCCUAGGCUUGAUCAACAAUAGGAGAAAAGAGGCUGCUCCUGUCAUAGGAGACUCAGGGUCCACAGCUUGUGAUGGGAGAAACAGGUGAAUGUCUCAGGCUCCAGAUCAGUGAACACAGCGGGGAUUUGGCUGGGACUACAAUGUUGCAACUUGGCUCACAGGGUCACUGUGAUUGUGGCCCUUCCACAGACCAGGAUUUUCCCUUCCCUCUGACAAUAUUGCCUGUGACAUUAUUCCCUUUACUCCAUAUGGCCUGGAUGCCCCCACCAUUUCUUCCUCAUACACCUAUUACCAUACAGGGGAAGUCCCCAAGCUCUCCUGCCUCACAGACUCCAUCCACUGGCAGAGCAUUCUUGGCUGAUUGAUGGGAAGUUCCAGCAAUCAGCACAAGUGUUCUUUAUCCCCCAAAUCACUAAACAUAUAGAGGGGUCUAUGUCUGUUUCAUCCAUAACUCAGCCACUGGUGGAACAAAUCUCAUAAUCAAGAGGAUCAUAGUCCCUGGUAAGUAGAUCCCUGGAGCACUGGUAAUAUGUUUUCCAGUGAAGUCUAUCUAGCUAUCAGGGAAGAGCCACCUGCCCUCUGCAAACGGAGAGGGAAAAUCAAAAACCCAGGACAGGAAUAUGAUUCUGCUCCAAAACCACCAGCUUUUGCCUGUCCCCUUCACUCUUUCUAGAUCAUUCUUUAGACUAUACACUAACAAUGAACAAUCUGAAAGGAAAUU